GACGAACGCUGGCGGCGUGCCUAAUACAUGCAAGUAGAACGCUGAAGAGAGGAGCUUACUCUUCUUGGAUGAGUUGCGAACGGGUGAGUAACGCGUAGGUAACCUGCCUUGUAGCGGGGGAUAACUAUUGGAAACGAUAGCUAAUACCGCAUAACAAUGGAUGACACAUGUCAUUUAUUUGAAAGGGGCAACUGCUCCACUACAAGAUGGACCUGCGUUGUAUUAGCUAGUAGGUGAGGUAAUGGCUCACCUAGGCGACGAUACAUAGCCGACCUGAGAGGGUGAUCGGCCACACUGGGACUGAGACACGGCCCAGACUCCUACGGGAGGCAGCAGUAGGGAAUCUUCGGCAAUGGGGGCAACCCUGACCGAGCAACGCCGCGUGAGUGAAGAAGGUUUUCGGAUCGUAAAGCUCUGUUGUAAGUCAAGAACGGGUGUGAGAGUGGAAAGUUCACACUGUGACGGUAGCUUACCAGAAAGGGACGGCUAACUACGUG
This 497-nucleotide ribosomal RNA is filed under the name uncultured bacterium. RNAcentral's name for it is "partial 16S ribosomal RNA". It matches the Rfam family "Bacterial small subunit ribosomal RNA", at positions 28 to 507 of the family's 1533-position model. The record is from RNAcentral.